UACAAUGUAAUGACCAAAUACAAUAAUAAUACAAAUGUUGAAUUUAAUUGCCAACUACCAGACAAAUUAUAUGUUUUUAGUUUAUGUUAUUUUAUGUAUGGAGGUGAUAAGUAAAUCUCGGUCGACCUGCUAUAGUGGUCGUGGCGUACCUUUAAUCGUUAUAAUAUUUGUGUUAAUAUUUAUAUUAAUACAUUUUUCAGAUUUUACGAUUUUUGA
Cinara cedri is the source of this 216-nucleotide non-coding RNA. The record is from the annotation of a GenBank genome assembly. NCBI's taxonomy places the organism in Eukaryota, Metazoa, Arthropoda, Insecta, Hemiptera, Aphididae.